UGAAAACUGUCUGAGGGUGGGGAUCACCUC
RNAcentral lists this non-coding RNA (30 nucleotides) under Mus musculus (house mouse). Lineage: Eukaryota; Metazoa; Chordata; Mammalia; Rodentia; Muridae. The record is from RNAcentral.